This 855-nucleotide ribosomal RNA is filed under the name uncultured bacterium. RNAcentral describes it as "bacterial SSU rRNA". It matches the Rfam family "Bacterial small subunit ribosomal RNA", at positions 94 to 954 of the family's 1533-position model. The record is from RNAcentral.
CGUGGCGAACGGGUGCGUAACACGUGGAUAACCUUCCUUCAGGUGGGGAAUAACCCCGCGAAAGCGGGGCUAAUACCGCAUAACAUGACGAUGGCGCGUGCCGUUGUCUUCAAAGCCGUAAGGCGCCAGAAGAGGGAUCCGCGGCCGAUUAGCUAGUUGGCGAGGUAAUGGCUCACCAAGGCAAUGAUCGGUAGCCGGACUGAGAGGUUGGCCGGCCACACUGGAACUGAGACACGGUCCAGACUCCUACGGGAGGCAGCAGUGGGGAAUCUUGCGCAAUGGGCGAAAGCCUGACGCAGCAACGCCGCGUGGGGGAUGAAGCUUCUCGGAGUGUAAACCCCUUUCGACCCGGACGAAUGCCCGCAAGGGUUUGACGGUACGGGUAUAAGAAGCCCCGGCUAACUACGUGCCAGCAGCCGCGGUAAAACGUAGGGGGCCAGCGUUGCUCGGAAUUACUGGGCGUAAAGGGUCCGUAGGCGGUGUGGCAAGUCGGAAGUGAAAUCUCUGGGCUUAACUCAGAGGCUGCUCCCGAAACUGCUGUGCUAGAGUGCGAGAGAGGCGAGUGGAAUUGCGGGUGUAGCGGUGAAAUGCGUAGAUAUCCGCAGGAACAUCCGAGGCGAAAGCGGCUCGCUGGAUCGCAACUGACGCUGAGGGACGAAAGCUAGGGGAGCAAACAGGAUUAGAUACCCUGGUAGUCCUAGCCCUAAACCAUCAGGACUUGGGGUUUGCCCUGUACGGGGCAAGUCCCGUAGCUAACGCGUUAAGUCCUGCGCCUGGGGAGUACGGUCGCAAGGCUGAAACUCAAAGGAAUUGACGGGGGCCCGCACAAGCGGUGGAACAUGUGGUUCAAUUCGA